CUGGUGUGCUGGUGUGGGCGAGGAAGCAGUGAGAGAUGUCUCAUGGGACAACCUCAACAAUUCUGACCUAAAGCUUUUUGGCAGUACCUGCAUGGAUUCCAUCAAACAGGGACAAGGAAACACCCGUAUCCCUCAAUACGAUUACCGAAAACGCGUCUCCUUUGGGAUGUUGACUGAAGGGUCCAUGGAGGUGCAGUCAUUUGUGCACAGCUAGAAAAGCAGCAAGGAGACUACACAACCUUGUGGGGCACCUUUACUGAUGGUCGGGGUUC
This is a long non-coding RNA of Electrophorus electricus (electric eel), 272 nucleotides long. RefSeq lists it as uncharacterized. The record is from RefSeq and is a predicted model, not a curated record. Lineage: Eukaryota; Metazoa; Chordata; Actinopteri; Gymnotiformes; Gymnotidae.